GACUCACUAGCUCAGCGGCCAGAGCAUUUGGCUCUUAACCAAAGGGUCCUGGGUUCGAAUCCCAGGUGGGUCA
Molecule: transfer RNA, 73 nt
Filed under: Chlorocebus sabaeus (green monkey)
Lineage: Eukaryota; Metazoa; Chordata; Mammalia; Primates; Cercopithecidae
Also listed under: 1 other name
Description: tRNA-Lys (CTT) (tRNA-Lys-CTT-5-1)
Rfam family: tRNA
About the family: Transfer RNA (tRNA) molecules are approximately 80 nucleotides in length. Their secondary structure includes four short double-helical elements and three loops (D, anti-codon, and T loops).
Source: Rfam by way of RNAcentral